This 259-nucleotide ribosomal RNA is filed under the name uncultured archaeon. RNAcentral describes it as "partial 16S ribosomal RNA". It matches the Rfam family "Archaeal small subunit ribosomal RNA", at positions 748 to 1008 of the family's 1478-position model. The record is from RNAcentral.
CAGCCGUAAACUAUGCGCGUUAGGUGUGCUGGUGACCACGUGUCACCGGGGUGCCGAAGGGAAACCGUGAAACGUGCCGCCUGGGAAGUACGGUCGCAAGGCUGAAACUUAAGGAAUUGGCGGGGGAGCACCACAACGGGUGGAGCCUGCGGUUAAUUGGACUCAACGCCGGAAAUCUCACCGGAUAGGACAGACAAAUGAUAGUCGGGCUGAAGACUCUACUUGAUGAUCUGAGAGGUGGUGCAUGGCGUCAGUGACU